CCUACGGGAGGCAGCAGUGGGGAAUAUUGGUCAAUGGACGCAAGUCUGACCCAGCCAUGCCGCGUGCGGGAAGACGGCUCUCUGAGUUGUAAACUGCUUUUGUACGAGGGUAAACGCAGAUACGCGUAUCUGUCUGAAAGUAUCGUACGCCUAAGGAUCGGCUAACUCCGUGCCAGCAGCCGCGGUACUACGGAGGAUUCAAGCGUUAUCCGGAUUUAUGGGGUUUAAAGGGUGCGUAGGCGGUCGGAUAAGUUAGAGGUGAAAUCCCGAGGCUCAACUUCGGAAUUGCCUCUGAUACUGUUCGGCUAGAGAGUAGGUGCGGUAGGCGGAAGGUAAGGUGUAGCGGUGAAAUGCUUAGAGAUCAGACAGAACACCGAUUGCGAAGGCAGCUUACCAAGCUACUUCUGACGUUGAGGCACGAAAGCGUGGGGAGCAAACAGGAUUAGAUACCCCAGUAGUC
Molecule: ribosomal RNA, 460 nt
Filed under: uncultured bacterium
Lineage: Bacteria
Description: partial 16S ribosomal RNA
Rfam family: Bacterial small subunit ribosomal RNA
Source: RNAcentral